UGCUCAAUUUUUCUCCUUCUAAAAAUGCUCAAUCUCUCAUAACUUCGUACAGCUUUCAGUCCCAUUUACGAUGAACGACCCACAUCUGUGUACUGUAUCUUAAAGAGGAAUCCUUCACGCAGCAGGCAAAGGGGGGCUGUGAAUGGCUCCAAAAGAAGCCUGGAGCUCUUUCUCCAGACUCUGUUUUUGCUUUCUUCUCUCACCGGUACUGCAAGUUUCAGAGUGCAGAAUCCUCAGCAGGAAAGGGAGAGGCUGAACAGGAUCCUGGGAGGCUCUCUGUUGCUCCCUGCAGGUAUUCCACCUACGGCAACACUGAAGACGAUCGACUGGUAUUUCCAGGGGGGGAAUGGUUUGGGAAUUCAGCUGGCUGAAUUCAGGGAAGGAGAACUGCAGAGAAGCAAUCCAAGGGACAGGUUUGGGCCAAGAUUGGAGAUGGUCAAUGAGACCACCCUGCGGAUCAAAGACUUGGAAAUGGAUGACAGUGGCAAAUAUUCCAUUAGAGUGAAGUUUACUUCGGCACGGUAUAAAGAUUACACCUUCCACCUCUCUGUGUAUGAACCAGUCCCAGAACCCAAAAUCCUCUCCCAAAUUGUCUCCAACAGCCCAGAUGGCUGUAACGUGACCCUGCAGUGUCAGGUGGCUGAAAAGGGGGAAAUCAACAUCUCCUGGGAAAGAGACUUAAAAGAUGGUUCAAAGUCAUACCACCUCUCUGGCAAUGGCAAGGAUCUCCACUUGUUCUGGAAGCUCAACUCCUCAGAUCCCAACAUCACCUGCCUGGUCACCAAUCCAGCUGAUCAGAAAAGCAUCUCCUUCAACUUGCUGCACAUCUGCCAAACUGAAGGUGACUGUCAACUCACAUUUGUGGUGGAACUUUUGAGGUGGAGUAUUCUCAUUUUCUUCGUAAUUUUGCUCCUCUUGGCUGGAUUUGGGAUAAAGACCUGGAAGACAAGAAGGACGAUGCCCACCAACGAAGGUAGGAAACUUUUAGUAAGAGCAGAAGGAAAGUCUUGAGGGAACAGACCAAAGCAUCCAUUAAUAUGACCAUCUUGCCUCCCACAGCUUAUCUCUGUGAAACUUGAGUCCCUUUCAGUGGGAGUUUAGGGUUCCUAUGCAUGGUUCUGUAUCUGUCGGAGACCAGGCUGAGGAGUACAGCUCUGAUGAGGAAUAGUGGGAGCCUACCCCUCCCCCUACCCCUCCCCCUGCUCCUGACCAGGAUUCUGGAGCUGCCCAGGAACAGUGGAGCAGUAUAGAUUUGGAACAGUGGUUUGCAGAGGGGCAUAGUUCUGAAGACAAAAGUUAGGAAGAACUGGGGGUUGAACAGCAAAGUGAAGAACAGAUGGGAAAGAGCUAACAGACUCUUUCUCGCUGGAAAGUGUUCAGCCUAUCAGUCCAAGAUCACAUAGAGCAGAUAAGAUGGCUACAGAAAAAGCACGAUGGUUGCGAGAUCAGGUUGUAAGACAGAAGUGACUAGGGGGGAAGUGGGUGGAAUCCUUAACUGGGAACACCUUCAUCUGAGAAUGGAAGCUUUGUUCUUUUGCUGUGAUCAUUAAAGACUCUUUAAAUGGUAAGGGACUCUUUUCUCUUUGUCCUGCUUAUCUACGGCCAAAGGGGGGGGGGAGGAAGCCGAGUCCCCAGAGCCUGACAGUACCCUUAGAAGCAAGUGUUGGUGACCCCAUGGAGUAAAUGUCUUACCUUCCCCUCUGCAGCUGCCUCCAUGGUGGCAACAGAGGAGGCAUUUCUUGAGCCUCAGUACUCAGAGGUUGUAAAGAGGAGCCCCCCGGAAGGCAAUGAUGAGCAGAGUUGCCCCUCUAGAUGGCAGUGACGUGAUAACAUUGUGGAAGCACCACCGAGUAUCUAGCGGGAAAGAUGGCAACCCAGAGAUGUAUUGCUGUGAUCUCUCUAUCCAUGGAGGACUCUUGGUACUCAGCUACACAGCAGCAAAUAAAAUGUUUUAAGUGUGUUUUACCUGCAAUAUACAAUGCGAUGCUAGAUGGCAAUGGUGAGUCUUAAGGUUUCCUGGGCUUUGAAGACACUCGAACUCAGGACGCAAAGGAGAAACAUGCUAAGAGGAAGGCACGCUUGGCAAAUCCACACCGUGACCAACUCCCGCCCGGAAACCAAUGUCCCCACUGUGGAAGGAAGUGUGGAUCCAGAACUGGCCUCCACAGUCACUUACGGACUCAUUGUUAAAACCAUGUUUAUGGAAGACAGUCUUACUUGGCUACAAGUAAUCGCCAAAGAAGAAGUAUGUAAAACUGAAUGUCUUUUUUAAAACCGCUUUUAAAAAAUGCAUUUUCAGAACAUUAUAUGUGUGUAGAUUCCACCUAGGUGUCUAUGUUGGCAUCUAUCUGCCUUGAGAGAAAAUGAAGUGUUCCUCUGGGGAUGAAGCCGAACCACUGUGUUUGCAGCACCAAAGUGACCUCCCUGUGGGGCAAGCCUGACCCCCCUCUUGGUCUUGCUGAUGUGGCCCAAAGGAAAGCAGAGCAAUAAAUUUGGCAACAUACUGGCUGCAGGAGUUGCCAGAAGGAGGUGUACAGGGCACCACCCAACCGUCUUAGGGACUCCACUCCGCUCAGUAUAGGCUUUAUUCCUUACGUUUUUCUUGUCCUGAAGAUCUCCUGGCAUAAAAUAAAUAAUAUAUCAGUCUCUGCCAAGUCUGAACUCCAAAGGGAAACAUGACCACUCGGCAGAGAUUAGAGGUUGCCUCCAUCUUGUUCAGUAUCGUAUGCACUGGAAAUGGAAGCGGGGGCGGAAUUGUGGAAAUGUUAAAUUUGCAGCAUGUUAUGCUUUGAAAGAAAAUUUCAUGGAAAUGAUUUUAUAAAUGGUAUCUGACGCUGAGUAAGCUAGCAAGAAUGUACAGAUCAGUCAGGUAUGUGCUGGAAAUGUUAAGAGACAGGAGGUGUUUUUUACCAUAUGUGGUGGGCAUAUAAAGUGGCAAAGGGUUUCUGUGAGAUUAUUUAUUAUAGUGAGGUAAAAAAAAUAAAUGCUUAAGGUGACACUCCCCUCCCUCCCAAAAAAAACCUGAAGUAUUUCUUUUAGGGAUAAUGGGAUGAACUUAUUAUUGUAUUCAAGAGGACUUUAUGUGCAGGACAUACAGUACCUCCUAAAGAAGAGUGGCAGUUAAAACGGAUGGAAUAUGCCCAAUAGGCAAAUUUGACUAUGAAAACUGGUGAUCAAGAAGAGGCAGAUUUUAAGGAGGAGUUGAAACCUUUUGUUGAAUAUCUAAAGAAUUAUUGUAAACAUGUAAAAUCACAGGUAGGAUUUGAAUGCAGAGCAGCAACUUGUUGGAGUGUGGAAAAGUUAAAGUGUAAGAUAUCUGUAAAGGUAAAGGUAAAGGGGCCCCUGACCAUCAGGUCCAGUCGUGUCCGACUCUGGGGUUGCGGCGCUCAUCUCGCUCUAUAGGCCGAGGGAGCAGGCGGUUGUCCGCAGACAGCUUCUGGGUCAUGUGGCCAGCAUGAUAAAGCUGCUUCUGGCGAACCAGAGCAGCGCACGGAAACGCCGUUUACCUUCCCGCCGGAGCGGUCCCUAUUUAUCUACUUGCACUUUGAUGUAAUGAGCAGCAAUUUUAGAAAUUACGGGGGGAAACCAUGGAGGGGAAGUGAAAUGAAUGUGUAUCCGGAAAGUAUGGAUCCAUUUGUAAACUGUUGGAAUUCAGAAACAAAACUAAAAAAAGUAUUGUCCACCCUGACCGGCUGCUGCUUUCCAGGGUUUCCUAUGGAUUUGUUGAGGUUCCUUUAAUUGCUGUUAAGGAAUAUCCUCCUUCGCUUCGCUGCAAGGAAGCUCUGCCAGAUUGAUACUGAGCUCUGUGCCAUCUGUAUGCUGUGAGUUGUCCUUGCAUUGCAUUUGAAGCCUGUGCCUGCUAUUAGUGACAUAGCCUGUAUAGAGUGUAUUUUGUGAAACUGCCUGAAUGCUUUGGGCCUGUCGGUAAAGGACUGAACUGACUGAAGAGUUGGAGUCGGACUGAAUUUCGUCCAGCACAAAACUGGACUGCUACGAACCUACACGCUGGGGGAGCUGCACACUGCAUUUUGCAUUCAGGAGCUGCUGCCACCUGGUGGCUAUAGCAUAAAAAUGCAUUAUUUUGGAGAAACAAAAUAAAAAAAAAUCCUUCCAGUAGCACCUUAGAGACCAACUAAGUUUGUUAUGAGCUUUCGUGUGCAUGCACACUUCUUCAGAUUAUUUUGGAGAGGAGGGUUGUUAUUGUUGUUUUAAAAGUCUUUAUUUGAUUUUUAAAAUACAAAUUUAUAACAAAAUCUAUUGCAAACCCAUAUAAAGAGAUUACUCUAAAGCGCAAGACUCCCCCACCACCACCACCACCACCAUGGGUCCUAAAGUCAACAUUUACAACUGCAUAUCAAUCUGUUAUCCAUGUUUUUAUAUAUCUGAAUUAUCCAUAGUCUUUGUUACCUUACAAGUGAGAUUAAAAUCCUGCUCAUGCUUUCAUCUGCUUACAAUGGUCACCUAAAUAAAUUGUGAAUCUUUCCCAUUCUUUUUUUUAAAGUUCUUGUGCUCUUGGUUCCUGAGCUUUCCAGUUUAACCAUUUCCGCAUAGUCCAUCAACUUGGUUUGCCAUUCUUCCCUAGUCUUUCCCUCUCUGGGCUAGAGGAGGAUUUUUUAACAGGGUUCCUUCUGUGGCAGCACUGC
This is a non-coding RNA of Zootoca vivipara (common lizard), 4643 nucleotides long. The record is from RefSeq and is a predicted model, not a curated record. Lineage: Eukaryota; Metazoa; Chordata; Lepidosauria; Squamata; Lacertidae.